RNAcentral lists this ribosomal RNA (253 nucleotides) under uncultured bacterium. Its description in RNAcentral is "partial 16S ribosomal RNA". It matches the Rfam family "Bacterial small subunit ribosomal RNA", at positions 524 to 776 of the family's 1533-position model. The record is from RNAcentral.
UACGGAGGGUGCGAGCGUUAAUCGGAAUUACUGGGCGUAAGGCGCGCGUAGGCGGUUUGAUAAGUCUGAUGUGAAAGCCCUGGGCUUAACCUGGGAACUGCAUUGGAAACUGUCCGACUGGAGUGUGGUAGAGGGGUGUGGAAUUUCCGGUGUAGCAGUGAAAUGCGUAGAGAUCGGAAGGAACACCAGUGGCGAAGGCGGCACCCUGGACCAACACUGACGCUGAGGUGCGAAAGCGUGGGGAGCAAACAGG